Molecule: ribosomal RNA, 446 nt
Filed under: uncultured bacterium
Lineage: Bacteria
Description: partial 16S ribosomal RNA
Rfam family: Bacterial small subunit ribosomal RNA
Source: RNAcentral
CCUACGGGUGGCAGCAGUCGAGAAUCAUUCACAAUGGGGGAAACCCUGAUGGUGCGACGCCGCGUGGGGGAAUGAAGGUCUUCGGAUUGUAAACUCCUGUCAUGUGGGUGCAAAUUAAAAAGAUAGUACCACAAGAGGAAGAGACGGCUAACUCUGUGCCAGCAGCCGCGGUAAUACAGAGGUCGCAAGCGUUGUUCGGAAGCACUGGGCGUAAAGCGUGCGUAGGCUGUUUCGUAAGUCGUGUGUGAAAGGCGCGGGCUCAACCCGCGGACGGCCCAUGAUACUGCGAGACUAGAGUGAUGGAGGGGGAACCGGAAUUCUCGGUGUAGCAGUGGAAUGCGUAGAUAUCGAGAGGAACACUCGUGGCGAAGGCGAGUUCCUGGACAUUAACUGACGCUGAGGCACGAAGGCCAGGGGAGCGAAAGGGAUUAGAUACCCCGGUAGUC